GUAUUUAGAAUUAUUUCAUUCAAAAAUAGCUUCAGACAAAAAAAUUGCAAUAAAAAAGUUGGUAUUAUGCGCAUGACGCGUCACUGACGCGACGCGUGUGGCACAAACAUUUCACACAAGGUGAGUACUUGUUUAAAAAGUGCAGUAGAACACUUGUUAUGAAUGAUCCUUCCGCAGGUUCACCUACGGAAA
Molecule: unclassified non-coding RNA, 192 nt
Filed under: uncultured fungus
Lineage: Eukaryota; Fungi
Description: sequence contains ITS1, 5.8S rRNA gene
Source: RNAcentral